GCUCUUAUAGUAUAAUGGCAUUACACAUCCUUGGUAAGGAUGAAAAACAAGUUCAAUUCUUGUUAGGAGCACCA
Molecule: transfer RNA, 74 nt
Filed under: bacterium
Lineage: Bacteria
Description: tRNA-Thr
Rfam family: tRNA
About the family: Transfer RNA (tRNA) molecules are approximately 80 nucleotides in length. Their secondary structure includes four short double-helical elements and three loops (D, anti-codon, and T loops). Further hydrogen bonds mediate the characteristic L-shaped molecular structure. tRNAs have two regions of fundamental functional importance: the anti-codon, which is responsible for specific mRNA codon recognition, and the 3' end, to which the tRNAs corresponding amino acid is attached (by aminoacyl-tRNA synthetases). tRNAs cope with the degeneracy of the genetic code in two manners: having more than one tRNA (with a specific anti-codon) for a particular amino acid; and 'wobble' base-pairing, i.e. permitting non-standard base-pairing at the 3rd anti-codon position.
Source: RNAcentral